Molecule: RNA transcript, 1641 nt
Organism: Spinacia oleracea (spinach)
Lineage: Eukaryota; Viridiplantae; Streptophyta; Magnoliopsida; Caryophyllales; Amaranthaceae
Exons: 12
Source: RefSeq, a predicted model, not a curated record
UUGAUAAAAUGGUGAAGUGACCAAAAUCAAAACACAGGUAGAGUCCAGCAUCCAGAUAUAGAGAAAGAUGGACAGAAAUGAAGUGAAAGCAAGUUCUCCAGGAGUUUCCGCCGUUCAACUCAACGAUUGCCUCGAAGAUCUUCUCAAUUUCGUCCUUCAAUCUUCCAUCAAUGGCACCCUUGACUUCAACCUUGCCUUAUCUGCCGAUUUCUGUUCCGGACUUCUCAAACACGAUGAUCAUCAUCAUCAUAAUAUAACCUCUCCAACUUCCAAUGAUAUAUCUGAAGGGGUGCCACCAUAUCCUUUAUACAAGAGAUUUGCUUCUGCUUUACAACAAUGGAUAAUUUCAGGUUCAUUCUUUUCAACAAGUGAAAAUGUCCCAGAAUUAUUAUGCGAGGAUGAAUCUCUGAAAGAAAUUAAAUAUAAAUGGAAUGAAUUAGUUUCACAAAAGGGGUCUGAAUUAGUUUAUAUGUUGAAGAGCAUCAAAUUUGAGCUUCAUGUUCAGGAACCGUAUUUUUCGCAAUUGAAAGAUGGCAUGAAAACAGUUGAAGGAAGGUGUGCAGUUGGUAACUAUAAUCGAAUUCAAUCAGGAGAUUUGAUUUUCUUCAACAAGUGCUUGAUGCUUGAGGUUCAGGAUGUUCGUUACUAUUCUUCGUUUGUGGAGAUGUUGGAAGCAGAAACUUUGGAGACCGUACUUCCAGGUGUACCGACCAUCGAAGAAGGUGAGCAAAUCUACAGGAAAUUCUACACCAAGGAAAAGGAGCAGUCAAAUGGCGUCCUUGCAAUAUGUGUUGGCAGACCAGCUACUCAGCCACACAUUGUCUUAUCUGAUAUUCUUUCGGGCCUUGGCUAUAGGGGCAUCCAGAGUCUUCUAGGGCUUAAGCAUACUGUUGGGACAAUUCCCGAGGCGCUUCCACCUCCAAUAUCAACUCUCUACUCAUCUUUUGCGUUGCCACAUAAAUCAAAUAUUAAAGGUUGUACCUUGACUGAAGGUGCCAGGGCAUUAACAAAGCAUGUCAAUAGAUGCAGCAGCAACUAUUGGGGUAAAGUGGAAGGAAGUGAUUCAACUAAAAACCAGCUUGCCAUAGAAGUCAUAACCCGCAUCAUAGAUCAAUGUCGAUGGUUGAAUGUGCAUAAUGUCCAACCACAUGGUGCUGUUUUUGAAAUACGAAUUCCUCAAGGUUAUGGUGCUCGGUGGUCGGUUGAUGGUACCAAGUGAUCUAUGCUAUCCAAGCUUCUCAGUAGUGUCAGAUUCAUCAGGAAUGUGAGGUGAACAUGUUCUAAUAUAUGUAUGUGUUGAUGGUACAGUACUACAGUAGUCCAUUUAUCCAAUAUGAACUCAUUUUUGGUUUUCCAAACAUAUCAUACAGAAGAAAUAAACAUACACAUAAUACAUUUGGCUGGAAUUUACAAGUUGCAUUGUCAGCUGUAACUCUUUUAUAGGGUUUCUGGAACCAUACAUGGAAAAUGGACAUUCAAAGAAAUGGAGGCACUGACUAAUACUAAUGUUUCUUCUCUGUAAAACACACUUGAGAAGCUACUCUCUAAUUUUGCAAAAAGUGCUAUUGCAAUACUGCUGUGCCCUGAACUCGCUUUUGUUCCUAACAAUCGUGGUUAUCAAAAUCGUGAUUCUACUUUGAA